This 139-nucleotide ribosomal RNA is filed under the name Staphylococcus epidermidis. RNAcentral describes it as "partial 16S ribosomal RNA". It matches the Rfam family "Bacterial small subunit ribosomal RNA", at positions 1 to 134 of the family's 1533-position model. The record is from RNAcentral. Lineage: Bacteria; Bacillati; Bacillota; Bacilli; Caryophanales; Staphylococcaceae.
UUUAUGGAGAGUUUGAUCCUGGCUCAGGAUGAACGCUGGCGGCGUGCCUAAUACAUGCAAGUCGAGCGAACAGACGAGGAGCUUGCUCCUCUGACGUUAGCGGCGGACGGGUGAGUAACACGUGGAUAACCUAAGUAAC